UACGGAGGAUCCAAGCGUUAUCCGGAUUUAUUGGGUUCAAAGGGUGCGUAGGCGGAUUGAUAAGUUAGAGGUGAAAUGUCCGAGCUCAACUCGGGAACUGCCUCUAAUACUGUUGAUCUAGAGGGUAGAUGCGGUAGGCGGAAUGUAUGGUGUAGCGGUGAAAUGCUUAGAGAUCAUACAGAACACCGAUUGCGAAGGCAGCUUACCAAUCUAUAUCUGACGUUGAGGCACGAAAGCGUGGGGAGCAAACAGG
Molecule: ribosomal RNA, 253 nt
Filed under: uncultured bacterium
Lineage: Bacteria
Description: partial 16S ribosomal RNA
Rfam family: Bacterial small subunit ribosomal RNA
Source: RNAcentral